AAAUGGCGGUGUGUGGUGGUGGUAGACCUGUUGUAUUUGGGAUUUCACUGAGAGAAUAAGAAGGAAUCGACGAUGGACUGCUACGCAACUAUUGCACCAGUGAAGGAUGUCUGUGUGCCGGUUUGUGCACAAUUUCUCAGCCAGCGGGCCUGAGAAAGUGUGCCACAGCAGUCUGUGUAGUGGUGCUCUUUGUUCUGGAAGGACGCAAGCAUUGCUGAGAAGCCAUUUGACCUGCCGCCACACUAAUAUUGUAUUUGGCAAAGCCGAAGGCCUCUGCAAGCAGCCUGUCAUUCCAAGUCUCAACCAAUCCUUCCUCUAGUCAGC
Long non-coding RNA from Dermacentor albipictus, 324 nucleotides. RefSeq lists it as uncharacterized. The record is from RefSeq and is a predicted model, not a curated record. Lineage: Eukaryota; Metazoa; Arthropoda; Arachnida; Ixodida; Ixodidae.